RNAcentral lists this ribosomal RNA (497 nucleotides) under uncultured bacterium. Its description in RNAcentral is "partial 16S ribosomal RNA". It matches the Rfam family "Bacterial small subunit ribosomal RNA", at positions 28 to 507 of the family's 1533-position model. The record is from RNAcentral.
GACGAACGCUGGCGGCGUGCCUAAUACAUGCAAGUUGAGCGCUGAAGGUUGGUACUUGUACCGACUGGAUGAGCAGCGAACGGGUGAGUAACGCGUGGGGAAUCUGCCUUUGAGCGGGGGACAACAUUUGGAAACGAAUGCUAAUACCGCAUAAAAACUUUAAACACAAGUUUUAAGUUUGAAAGAUGCAAUUGCAUCACUCAAAGAUGAUCUCGCGUUGUAUUAGCUAGUUGGUGAGGUAAAGGCUCAUCAAGGCGGUGACACAUAGCCGACCUGAGAGGGUGAUCGGCCGCAUUGGGAGUGAGACACGGCCCAAACUCCUACGGGAGGCAGCAGUAGGGAAUCUUCGGCAAGGGACGAAAGUCUGACCGAGCAACGCCGCGUGAGUGAAGAAGGUUUUCGGAUCGUAAAACUCUGUUGGUAGAGAAGAACGUUGGUGAGAGUGGAAAGCUCAUCAAGUGACGGUAACUACUCAGAAAGGGACGGCUAACUACGUG